GGAUGGGAGGGCAAUCUGCCUGACAUCACCCCACUGAUCAGCAGGGUUGAUUAGGCUGACAAUUGGACACCCACCUAGCCAGCCAGAUGAACCCUUCUUCCCUCACCAUUCCAUGUGUCCUUCCCAAAGCCAGGACCCUUCUCCUGGAGGUAUGCAAGUAGCUGCUUUCUCCUACUGGAACCUACAAACAAACUCUCAAGAAAGCACUACAAGGCAAAUAAACUCAAAUACAGUAGAUCCUCUUCAUUUGAGGGGGAUAUGUU
Unclassified non-coding RNA from Otolemur garnettii (small-eared galago), 263 nucleotides. Its record names the gene 7SK. It matches the Rfam family "7SK RNA". Rfam says of the family: 7SK was discovered as an abundant small nuclear RNA in the mid-70s but a possible function has only recently been suggested. Two independent studies have found that 7SK RNA binds the CDK9/cyclin T complex (known as elongation factor P-TEFb). Lineage: Eukaryota; Metazoa; Chordata; Mammalia; Primates; Galagidae. The record is from Ensembl.